GGGGGAUUAGCUCAGUUGGUUAGAGCGGGGCGCUCAUAACGCCUGUGUCGUGGGUUCAAGUCCCUCAUCCCCCACCA
This 77-nucleotide transfer RNA is filed under the name Alphaproteobacteria bacterium. RNAcentral's name for it is "tRNA-Met". It matches the Rfam family "tRNA". Rfam says of the family: Transfer RNA (tRNA) molecules are approximately 80 nucleotides in length. Lineage: Bacteria; Pseudomonadati; Pseudomonadota; Alphaproteobacteria. The record is from RNAcentral.